This 253-nucleotide ribosomal RNA is filed under the name uncultured bacterium. RNAcentral describes it as "partial 16S ribosomal RNA". It matches the Rfam family "Bacterial small subunit ribosomal RNA", at positions 524 to 776 of the family's 1533-position model. The record is from RNAcentral.
UACAGAGGGUGCAAGCGUUAUUCGGAAUUACUGGGCGUAAAGCGUGCGCAGGCGGUUGCGUAAGUCAGAUGUGAAAGCCCCGGGCUCAACCUGGGAAUUGCAUUUGAGACUGCGUAGCUAGGGUGCGGAAGAGGGAAGCGGAAUUUCCGGUGUAGCGGUGAAAUGCGUAGAUAUCGGAAGGAACACCAGUGGCGAAAGCGGCUUCCUGGUCCAGCACCGACGUUCAGGCACGAAAGCGUGGGGAGCAAACAGG